Molecule: unclassified non-coding RNA, 219 nt
Filed under: Packera cana
Lineage: Eukaryota; Viridiplantae; Streptophyta; Magnoliopsida; Asterales; Asteraceae
Source: RNAcentral
GUUGUGUCACCUACCAACACUCAAUCUUUUCAUGGGGUUGUUGUAUUGGGGGUGGAGAUUGGUUUCCCGUUUCUUUGAUGCGGUUGGCUAAAAUAGGAAUUCCAUUUCAAAUGAACACGCGAUUAGUGGUGGUUGUGAAACCCUCUAUUGAGUUGUGAGUUCAUAGGGAAAGAAUAACCCUAAAAUAACCUGAUAUGCUUUUUGUAUGAGGCUUUGACU